GCCUUCGUAGUGUAGUGGUCAGCAUGCUGGCCGUGUAUUCCAGAGGUCCGUGGUUCGAUUCCAGGCGAGGCCG
RNAcentral lists this transfer RNA (73 nucleotides) under Stegodyphus dumicola. RNAcentral's name for it is "tRNA-Thr". It matches the Rfam family "tRNA". From Rfam's summary of the family: Transfer RNA (tRNA) molecules are approximately 80 nucleotides in length. Their secondary structure includes four short double-helical elements and three loops (D, anti-codon, and T loops). The record is from RNAcentral. Lineage: Eukaryota; Metazoa; Arthropoda; Arachnida; Araneae; Eresidae.